RNAcentral lists this transfer RNA (72 nucleotides) under Ovis aries (sheep). It matches the Rfam family "tRNA". From Rfam's summary of the family: Transfer RNA (tRNA) molecules are approximately 80 nucleotides in length. Lineage: Eukaryota; Metazoa; Chordata; Mammalia; Artiodactyla; Bovidae. The record is from Rfam by way of RNAcentral.
UCACAGGGGGUCCAGCGGUUAAGACACUGCACUUCUGCUGCAGGGGCACAGGUUCAAGCCCUGGUUGGGGAG